AUCCCCAUUCUGCCAUCCCUUAGGAGCUGGGAGCCAACCAGGGCUGCAGCCACCCUGCUGGCUCCAUGAUCCACGGAGACAGGUGGGGUCUCAAUGGCCUCUCUGAUGCAGACGUCAAGGUCAGAACUGCAUGUUAUCUUGGGAGCCAAGCUGCAAAUCCUGGAUAAUAAGCAGGCUGAGCCUACCCCUCCCAGGAAACACAGUAGAGAAUGGGAAACAAACAACAGAAGCAAAAAGCUAGAAGGCCAGGAGUAAAAGAACCAGGCAGAGGUCUUCUUGCUGGUGUCACUGUCAGGGGCCAAGCCCUCCUCGCUGCUUUCGGGGGCGCCUGUCUCCCCCUCGCUGGGUUUCUCUAAAAGGCAUGAACUUGAGGCCUCGCCCUUGCCCUGCACCUGGGAGGCCCAGAAAGUUCUGCUGAAAGGAAACCCUGGCCAAAAAGAGAU
Molecule: long non-coding RNA, 443 nt
Organism: Eptesicus fuscus (big brown bat)
Lineage: Eukaryota; Metazoa; Chordata; Mammalia; Chiroptera; Vespertilionidae
Exons: 3
Source: RefSeq, a predicted model, not a curated record